AGAGCGAACGCUGGCGGCAGGCCUAACACAUGCAAGUCGAGCGCCCCGCAAGGGGAGCGGCAGACGGGAGAGUAACACGUGGGAACGUACCCUUCAGUUCGGAACAACCCAGGGAAACUUGGGCUAAUACCGAAUACGUCCGUAAGGAGAAAGAUUUAUCGCUGAAGGAUCGGCCCGCGUCUGAUUAGCUUGUUGGUGAGGUAACGGCUCACCAAGGCGACGAUCAGUAGCUGGUCUGAGAGGAUGAUCAGCCUCACUGGGACUGAGACACGGCCCAGACUCCUACGGGAGGCAGCAGUGGGGAAUAUUGGACAAUGGGCGCAAGCCUGAUUCAGCCAUGCCGCGUGGGUGAUGAAGGCCCUAGGGUUGUAAAGCCUUUCGGCGGGAAGAUAAUGACGGUACCGCAGAAGAGCCCGGCUAACUCGUGCCAGCAGCCGC
RNAcentral lists this ribosomal RNA (438 nucleotides) under uncultured bacterium. Its description in RNAcentral is "SSU rRNA". It matches the Rfam family "Bacterial small subunit ribosomal RNA", at positions 26 to 518 of the family's 1533-position model. The record is from RNAcentral.